GAGAGAGGAUGAGGUUUCACUUCUGGUCCGUGUUUCUGAUGACAUUGAUGAUUUUGAAGAUCUGAUCUU
Molecule: small nucleolar RNA, 69 nt
Organism: Carcharodon carcharias (great white shark)
Lineage: Eukaryota; Metazoa; Chordata; Chondrichthyes; Lamniformes; Lamnidae
Product: small nucleolar RNA SNORD18
Exons: 1
Source: RefSeq, a predicted model, not a curated record